GUCCAUGCCCUAAACGAUGUCAACUGGUUGUUGGGUCUUCACUGACUCAGUAACGAAGCUAACGCGUGAAGUUGACCGCCUGGGGAGUACGGCCGCAAGGUUGAAACUCAAAGGAAAUUGACGGGGACCCGGCACAAGCGGUGGAUGAUGUGGUUUAAUUCGAUGCAACGCGAAAACCUUAACCUACCCUUGACAUGUCUGGAAUCCCGCAGAGAUGUGGGAGUGCUCGAAAGAGAGCCAGAACACAGGUGCUGCAUGGCUGUCGU
RNAcentral lists this ribosomal RNA (266 nucleotides) under uncultured bacterium. Its description in RNAcentral is "partial 16S ribosomal RNA". It matches the Rfam family "Bacterial small subunit ribosomal RNA", at positions 793 to 1055 of the family's 1533-position model. The record is from RNAcentral.